GAUAAGCCCAAACCGUUAUUGUUUCGGCAGUAGCGGGGUAGUAGGACUGCGACAUUGAUGAAAUAAAUGAAAUGGAACACCUUGGAAAAUGUGAUCACAGAGGGUGAUAAUCCCGUACAUGUAAGUUUAUGAAUCAUAGCAGACUCCUGAGUAAGUCGGGACACGUGUAAUCCUGACCGAAUCCGCCGGGACCAUCCGGCAAGGCUAAAUACUCCUGAGAGACC
This 224-nucleotide ribosomal RNA is filed under the name Odoribacter splanchnicus. RNAcentral's name for it is "partial 23S ribosomal RNA". It matches the Rfam family "Bacterial large subunit ribosomal RNA", at positions 262 to 485 of the family's 2925-position model. The record is from RNAcentral. Lineage: Bacteria; Pseudomonadati; Bacteroidota; Bacteroidia; Bacteroidales; Odoribacteraceae.